Molecule: ribosomal RNA, 409 nt
Filed under: uncultured bacterium
Lineage: Bacteria
Description: bacterial SSU rRNA
Rfam family: Bacterial small subunit ribosomal RNA
Source: RNAcentral
AGCAGUGGGGAAUUUUGGACAAUGGGCGCAAGCCUGAUCCAGCAAUGCCGCGUGAGUGAAGAAGGCCUUCGGGUUGUAAAGCUCUUUUGUCAGGGAAGAAGCGGUGAGAGCUAAUAUCUCUUGCUAAUGACGGUACCUGAAGAAUAAGCACCGGCUAACUACGUGCCAGCAGCCGCGGUAAUACGUAGGGUGCAAGCGUUAAUCGGAAUUACUGGGCGUAAAGCGUGCGCAGGCGGUUUUGUAAGUUUGUCGUGAAAGCCCCGGGCUCAACCUGGGAAUUGCGAUGAAGACUGCAAGGCUUGAAUCUGGCAGAGGGGGGUAGAAUUCCACGUGUAGCAGUGAAAUGCGUAGAGAUGUGGAGGAACACCGAUGGCGAAGGCAGCCCCCUGGGUCAAGAUUGACGCUCAUG